Small nucleolar RNA from Trifolium pratense (red clover), 224 nucleotides. RefSeq annotates it as small nucleolar RNA U3. The transcript has a single exon. The record is from RefSeq and is a predicted model, not a curated record. NCBI's taxonomy places the organism in Eukaryota, Viridiplantae, Streptophyta, Magnoliopsida, Fabales, Fabaceae.
AGUCCUUAAACAACAUGAUCUAUUCUAUAGGAUCGUAAUAUUGUGUCCUUGAUUUCUAAGGAGACGGACACAUUAAUCUUGGACGAUGAAUUAUGACUGUGUGAUUAAAGUGUAAUUAACGGUUAUGUAGUGAGAUCUUACGGGAAUCAUAACAAGAUACUGUAGAAGAUCCUUCUCAACAAGUACAAUUUGAUUGGGUUGGUCACACAGUUGUCUGGCAGAUU